UGGAGAGUUCCCGUCGUGGCGCAGUGGUUAACGAAUCCGACUAGGAACCACGAGGUUGCGGGUUCGGUCCCUGCCCUUGCUCAGUGGGUUAAGGAUCCGGCGUUGCCAUGAGCUGUGGUGCAGGUUGCAGACGCGGCUCGGAUCCUGCGUUGCUGUGGCUCUGGUGUAGGCUGGUGGCUACAGCUCCGAUUCGGCCCCUAGCCUGGGAAUCUCCAUAUGCCGCGGGAGCGGCCCAAGAAAAAGCAAAAAAAAAAAAAAAAGACAAAAUAAAUAAAUAAAUAAAAUAAAAAGUUUUAUUGGGAUUUAGCUGAUUUUCAGUGUUGUAUUAGCUUCAGAUUUACAGCCAAAUGAACCGGUUAUAGACAUAGCCAUUCUUUUUUUGUUUUUGUCUUUUUUGGGUGGAGGGGAGCAACCUACGGCAUAUGGAGGUUCCCAGGCUAGGGAUCGAAUCAGAGCCACAGCUGCUGGCCUACACCACAGGCACAGCAACACUGGAUCCGAGCUGCGUCCAUGACCUACACCACAGCUCACAGCAGCAUCAGGUCCUUAACCCACUGAUUGAGGCCAGGGAUCGAACCAUGUCGGAUACUAGUCGGAUUUGUUAACCUCUGAGCCACGAUGGGAACUCCAGCAUAUCCGUUCUUUUGUCCCAUGUGGGUUGUUACAGAACGUUGAGUAGACCUCCCUGUGCUGUGCAGUAAGUCCUUGUGGUUACCUGCGUCACAUACACCAGUGUGUGUGUGCCCGUCCCACCCUCCCAGCUUAUCCCUCCUCCCCGGCCCCCACGGUUUAGUGUGUUCUCUGGUAACUGUGAUUCUGAAAUCUUUGUUUCUGUCUCAUAAAUGGGCCCUUUUGUGUCAUUUUUUAUUAGAUUCCACACAUAAGUGGUAUCAUAUGAUUUUGUGUUAGUCUGAUGGACUUCAUUAGUAUAGUGAUAGGUUACUUUGUUCUUGCGGCAGGUACAAGCUUGUAGUUCCCAAUUGGUGGUAAAAUUUGGCCUUGAUAUUUAACUAGUAUAAUUAUUAAUGGGAGAAUAUUAAUUGUGGGUUUUAAUUUUUUUAGGUAAAAUUUCCCUCUUUCACCUUCCUCCCUCUCAUGAAUAUUGUUCUGAGGUCAUGAGAAGAUUCUUAAAGAAUCUCAUUAAUUAGUCCGAAGAGUGGGUUAGUCCCAGGAGAAGACAGAACUCCCCUCCUGCCGGCAUUGAGAGCAGGACUGCGGAGGAAGACGGACAGGUUAUCAGCUGGGCACUGCGUGGGGGGAUGCUUCUGAGGCUCACCCAGGCAACCAGCGUCCAGAAGACAGUGGGCUCUGUGCUUGUCUUUACUGCCUCCGAAUGCAGGAUCCAUUCUUUCCGAGAUAUCUAAAGUUGUAAACCGGGAUUGUUCUUCAAAUAUUCCGCAGCUGAAAUUGAUUCAUACACAGUCAUCAUUAUUAAUUUGCUAAUCCACUGGAGUUAAACGUCUGUCUGUAGUACCACAUUUCAGGUGUUUCCAAGGAAGAACAAAGGAACAGCCCCUUCUUUUAAAAAGGUUUACUAUAGAGUCUUUCUUUCUUCAGAGCAGAUAGUGUCUGAGUUUUAUCUAAAGCAGUCGUUUUUGCAAGUUCCCUGGUGGUGCAGCAGGUUAAGGAUCCCGCAUUAUCACUGCUGUAGCUCUGGUUUCAGCUGCGGCUCGGGUUUGAUCCCUGACCCGGGAAUUUCCACAUGCCUCAGGCAAGGCCGGAAAAAAGAAAACAGAGCAGUGGUUUUCUUUUUCUUUUCAGGGCCACACCUGUGACAUAUGGACAUUCCCAGGCUAGGGGUCGAAUCAGAGCUACAGCACAGCUACACCUACACCACAGCUCACAGCACUGCCAGAUCCUUAACACACCGAGCAAAGUGAGGGAUUGAACCAGCAUCCUCAUGGAUUAAAAUCAGGUUCUUAACCCACUGAGCCACAGUGAGAACUCCCAGAGCAGUGGCUUUCAAUUCUGCCCCCAUGGAACACUGGGGACACUUGGCAAUGUCUGAAGACAUUUUUGGUAUCACAACUGGCGGGGGUGCUCCUGGCAUUUAGUGAGUAGAGGGCAGACAUGCUGCUAAGCAGCCCCCCACCCCUGCCCCACAAGGAAUCACCGAGCCCCAAUGUCAAUAAUGUCUCUUCUGCUUACCUAGGCAGAAGGCAUGCUUCAGUCACUGGCUGGGAAGGGCCAGCUCCACCUGAUUUCAAGUGCUACUUAUUUGAGCAUUUUGAAAGGCAAUGUUAGCAUGCCCUGCCAACAGACUGGAACACAUUUAGGCAAAAGUACUUUUCCUUUUUCAGAGAACCAAAGUGGUUCCCUGGAAUUUUUGCAAACCUGUAGAACAUGCCUGUGGUCCAGUUUAAGAAAUCUAAGUUGUCCUUGGGUUAGUGAUUGGUGUCACAACUUAGGAGCAUCCAGCUUAGUAAAUGCAGCUACCUUCCCACAGCAAGAGGAGAAAGAGAAGGGAUGGGGAGACCUGCCGCCCACCAAGGAUUCUGGCAAAAAUAAUUUUUUUUUUUAUUCUGAUGCUCAACUGAAGAUUGAGCCUUUGAGAAUAAUUCUAUAAUAGUUUUCAUCUUUCCCAGAGACACCAAAAGCUUUGCAUAAAGCUUCUAUAGGCUCCUUAAUUCAGAUUUGCCUAAAGAAUUUAUCUUGAUUUAUGUCCAAGAAAUACCCAUGUGUUCUAAUAAACUUCUUGGCUUGAGUGAAUUUGAGCUUCAAUAAUGGCAUAUUGAUUUUCUUCUCCGGAGUGCUAUGUGUUUCUGAGAAGCAAGCAAAAGCUAAGCAUCAUUCAAUAGAAGAGGCCUGUGGACAGAUCAUGGAAUCUGGAAGGAAAACACUUUUUUAUGUUUUCUAUACAUAGCCUACAUAUACAGAAUAGAGUAUUAAUCAUAAAAAAAAAUGAAAUAGAAGUUCCCAUCGUGGCUCAGCGGUUAACAAAUCCAACUAGGAACCAUGAGGUUGCAGGUUCAAUCCCUGGCCUGGCUCAGUGGGUUAAGGAUCCGGCAUUGCCGUGAGCUGUGGUGUAAGUCACAGACACAGCUCGGAUCCUGCGUUGCUGUGGCUGUGCUAUAGGCCGGCAGCUGUAGCUCCGAUUAGACCCCUAGCCUGGGAACCUCCAUAUGCCUCGGGUGGGGCCCUAGAAUAUACCAAAAAAAAAAAAAAAAAUGAAUGAAUGAAAUAAUGCCAUUUGCAGCAACAUGUGUGAACCUAGAGGUUAUCAUGCUAAGUCAAGAAAGACAAAUAUGGAGUUCCCGUCAUGGCUCAGUGGUUAACGAAUCUGACUAGGAACCAUGAGGUUGCGGGUUUGAU
This 3312-nucleotide long non-coding RNA is filed under the name Sus scrofa (pig). RNAcentral's name for it is "lncRNA (ENSSSCG00015003596.1)". Lineage: Eukaryota; Metazoa; Chordata; Mammalia; Artiodactyla; Suidae. The record is from RNAcentral.